GGAGUCACGCCAGAAUCUUACCCGGAGAGACAGCAGAAUGAAGGUCAAGCUGAAGACUUUACCAGACAAGCUGAGAGGUGGUGCAUGGCCGUCGCCAGCUCGUGCCGUGAGAUGUCCUGUUAAGUCAGGUAACGAGCGAGAUCCCUGCCACUAGUUGCUAUCAUUAUUCUCAGGAAUAGUGGGGCGAAUUAGUGGGACUGCCGUUGUUAAAACGGAGGAAGGAAGGGGCUACGGCAGGUCAGUAUGCCCCGAAACUCUGGGGCCACACGCGGGCUGCAAUGGUAGUGACAAUGAGUUCCAAACUCGAAAGAGAGUGGCAAUCUCUAAACGCUACCACAGUUAUGACUGAGGGCUGUAACUCGCCCUCACGAAUAUGGAAUCCCUAGUAACCGCGUGUCAUUACCGCGCGGUGAAUACGUCCCUGCUCCUUGCACACACCGCCCGUCGUUUCAUCGAAGUUUGCUUUUAGCGAGGUGAUGUUUAGUUGACAUUAUCGAACUUGAGGUAAGUGACGAGGGAAAAGUCGUAACAAGGUGACCGUAGGGGAACCUGCGGUCGGAUCA
Molecule: ribosomal RNA, 563 nt
Filed under: uncultured crenarchaeote
Lineage: Archaea; Thermoproteati; Thermoproteota
Description: bacterial SSU rRNA
Rfam family: Archaeal small subunit ribosomal RNA
Source: RNAcentral